CCGAAUAGGAACAGCUCCGGUCUACAGCUCCCAGCGUGAGCGACGCAGAAGACGGGUGAUUUCUGCAUUUCCAUCUGAGUUCUUUCUGCAGAUGAUAAAACAUCAGUUGAAGAAGUUCAUUUGGGUAAAGAGAUGGAUAAUAUUUGGAUAUACAUGAACUCUUGGACCAUCAUCAAUAGCUUUGUUCUAUAUUAAGGCAUAAGGACAGAUGCUGAUACCAUCUCCUUUACAAGACUUGAAAUUUCUACCUUUGAACCAUGCAGGUCAUUUUGUUACUGUCAGUGGUCAGCAUAUCUACUGCGUUGUUGUGAACCAGGAUGACGUAUUGUUAAGGCAAUUAUCCGUGUUGAAGAGAAACACGUCGCUGCUGCUUGCUUGAUGUGGCUGCAACAACAAAGCUGUUUUGACUACUCUAGGACUUGAAGCUGCUAUUCCCUCAUGAUCCUGACACCUGGAAUUUGCACCUCACAGGACCCCAGCCUUGCUGCUCUGCCCAUUGACCUCUGCCACCCUCCAUACCGGGUGUGAGUUACCACCAGAAGAAGUCU
RNAcentral lists this long non-coding RNA (548 nucleotides) under Homo sapiens (human). RNAcentral describes it as "non-protein coding lnc-PRDM9-23:1". The record is from RNAcentral. Lineage: Eukaryota; Metazoa; Chordata; Mammalia; Primates; Hominidae.